GACGAACCGUGCGAACGUCGUUCGGAAUCACUGGGCUUAAAGGGCGCGUAGGCGGUUCAUCAAGUCAGGAGUGAAAUCUUUCGGCUUAACCGGAAAAGUGCUUCUGAUACUGAUGAUCUCGAGGGAGGUAGGGGUCCGCGGAACUUCUGGUGGAGCGGUGAAAUGCGUUGAUAUCAGAAGGAACGCCGGUGGCGAAAGCGGCGGACUGGAUCUCUUCUGACGCUGAGGCGCGAAAGCCAGGGGAGCAAACGGG
Molecule: ribosomal RNA, 253 nt
Filed under: uncultured bacterium
Lineage: Bacteria
Description: partial 16S ribosomal RNA
Rfam family: Bacterial small subunit ribosomal RNA
Source: RNAcentral